This 32-nucleotide non-coding RNA is filed under the name Geobacter sulfurreducens KN400. The record is from RNAcentral. Lineage: Bacteria; Pseudomonadati; Thermodesulfobacteriota; Desulfuromonadia; Geobacterales; Geobacteraceae.
GCCGCCCAGCUCGGGCAGGCCGAGGAGGCCGU